GACGAACGCUGGCGGCGUGCUUAACACAUGCAAGUCGAACGGAAAGGCCCUGCUUUUGUGGGGUGCUCGAGUGGCGAACGGGUGAGUAACACGUGAGUAACCUGCCCUUGACUUUGGGAUAACUUCAGGAAACUGGGGCUAAUACCGGAUAGGAGCUCCUGCUGCAUGGUGGGGGUUGGAAAGUUUCGGCGGUUGGGGAUGGACUCGCGGCUUAUCAGCUUGUUGGUGGGGUAGUGGCUUACCAAGGCUUUGACGGGUAGCCGGCCUGAGAGGGUGACCGGCCACAUUGGGACUGCGAUACGGCCCAGACUCCUACGGGAGGCAGCAGUGGGGAAUAUUGCACAAUGGGCGGACGCCUGAUGCAGCGACGCCGCGUGCGGGAUGACGGCCUUCGGGUUGUAAACCGCUUUCGCCUGUGACGAAGCGUGAGUGACGGUAAUGGGUAAAGAAGCACCGGCUAACUACGUG
RNAcentral lists this ribosomal RNA (468 nucleotides) under uncultured bacterium. Its description in RNAcentral is "partial 16S ribosomal RNA". It matches the Rfam family "Bacterial small subunit ribosomal RNA", at positions 28 to 507 of the family's 1533-position model. The record is from RNAcentral.